Molecule: ribosomal RNA, 215 nt
Filed under: uncultured bacterium
Lineage: Bacteria
Description: partial 16S ribosomal RNA
Rfam family: Bacterial small subunit ribosomal RNA
Source: RNAcentral
GAUGAACGCUGGCGGCGUGCUUAACACAUGCAAGUCGAACGGUGAAGCAGGAGCUUGCUCUUGCGGAUCAGUGGCGAACGGGUGAGUAACACGUGAGCAACCUGCCCCGGACUCUGGGAUAACAGUUGGAAACAGCUGCUAAUACCGGAUACGAGCUGCGAAGGCAUCUUCAGCAGCUGGAAAGAAUUUCGGUCCGGGAUGGGCUCACGGCCUAU